RNAcentral lists this ribosomal RNA (430 nucleotides) under Pseudomonadota bacterium. RNAcentral's name for it is "Proteobacteria bacterium partial 16S ribosomal RNA". It matches the Rfam family "Bacterial small subunit ribosomal RNA", at positions 355 to 776 of the family's 1533-position model. The record is from RNAcentral. Lineage: Bacteria; Pseudomonadati; Pseudomonadota.
UGGGGAAUAUUGGACAAUGGGGGGAACCCUGAUCCAGCCAUGCCGCGUGUGUGAAGAAGGCCUUAUGGUUGUAAAGCACUUUAAGCGAGGAGGAGGGUACUGGUAUUAAUACUACCAGGUACUGGACGUUACUCGCAGAAUAAGCACCGGCUAACUCUGUGCCAGCAGCCGCGGUAAUACAGAGGGUGCGAGCGUUAAUCGGAUUUACUGGGCGUAAAGCGUGCGUAGGCGGCUAAUUGAGUCGGAUGUGAAAUCCCCGAGCUUAACUUGGGAAUUGCAUUCGAUACUGGUUAGCUAGAGUGUGGGAGAGGAUGGUAGAAUUCCAGGUGUAGCGGUGAAAUGCGUAGAGAUCUGGAGGAAUACCGAUGGCGAAGGCAGCCAUCUGGCCUAACACUGACGCUAAGGUACGAAAGCAUGGGGAGCAAACAGG